This 253-nucleotide ribosomal RNA is filed under the name uncultured bacterium. RNAcentral describes it as "partial 16S ribosomal RNA". It matches the Rfam family "Bacterial small subunit ribosomal RNA", at positions 524 to 776 of the family's 1533-position model. The record is from RNAcentral.
GACAGAGGUGCCAAGCGUUAGGCGGAAUCACUGGGCUUAAAGCGUGUGUAGGCGGAUCGUUAAGUACCUUGUGAAAUCCCACGGCUCAACCGUGGAACUGCUUGGUAUACUGGCGGUCUUGAGCCACCUAGGGGCAACUGGAACAAGCGGUGGAGCGGUGAAAUGCUUAGAUAUCGUCCAGAACACCGAUAGCGAAGGCAGCUUACUAAGGAGUAACUGACGCUGAGGCACGAAAGUGUGGGGAUCAAACAGG